CUAAAUGAUGAACCACAUUGAGUUCGCUGCGUUCUUCCCGAGUGUCACGCUGAAGAGUUAACUCAUUUUUAUUUCACCUUGGAGAACUGAUGG
Molecule: small nucleolar RNA, 93 nt
Filed under: Verruconis gallopava
Lineage: Eukaryota; Fungi; Ascomycota; Dothideomycetes; Venturiales; Sympoventuriaceae
Description: Ochroconis gallopava A. fumigatus snoRNA Afu_294
Rfam family: A. fumigatus snoRNA Afu_294
Source: Rfam by way of RNAcentral